AUUGAACGCUGGCGGCAGGCCUAACACAUGCAAGUCGAACGGUAACAGGAAACAGCUUGCUGUUUCGCUGACGAGUGGCGGACGGGUGAGUAAUGUCUGAGAAACUGCCUGAUGGAGGGGGAUAACUACUGGAAACGGUAGCUAAUACCGCAUAACGUCGCAAGACCAAAGAGGGGGACCUUCGGGCCUCUUGCCAUCGGAUGUGCCCAGAUGGGAUUAGCUAGUAGGUGGGGUAACGGCUCACCUAGGCGACGAUCCCUAGCUGGUCUGAGAGGAUGACCAGCCACACUGGAACUGAGACACGGUACAGACUCCUACGGGAGGCAGCAGUGGGGAAUAUUGCACAAUGGGCGCAAGCCUGAUGCAGCCAUGCCGCGUGUAUGAAGAAGGCCUUCGGGAUGUAAAGUACUUUCAGCGGGGAGGAAGGGAGUAAAGUUAAUACCUUUGCUCAUUGACGUUACCCGCAGAAGAAGCACCGGCUAACUCCGUGCCAGCCGCCGCAGUAA
This 506-nucleotide ribosomal RNA is filed under the name uncultured bacterium. RNAcentral's name for it is "partial 16S ribosomal RNA". It matches the Rfam family "Bacterial small subunit ribosomal RNA", at positions 30 to 523 of the family's 1533-position model. The record is from RNAcentral.